Molecule: non-coding RNA, 829 nt
Organism: Nelumbo nucifera (sacred lotus)
Lineage: Eukaryota; Viridiplantae; Streptophyta; Magnoliopsida; Proteales; Nelumbonaceae
Source: RefSeq, a predicted model, not a curated record
AAUGGAAAACAUCCACUAGUUAGAAGGAAUGUAACUCUCCAGAGUCAUGUGGCAUGAGAAGAGGGACUACUAAAUUUCUGAAGUUAGAGUAUAAACCUGCCAUGAAUGACCGAAAUAACGAAUCCAGCAGAUCGGAUCACUGGGAUGUCCAUGAAUGAUCUCUAUUUGCGCUGUAUGCAAUUCUCCACUCAUUACCAGCUAUUCAGUUCUCUAUUACGUUGUACCCCACCUUGAGACAAGUGAAUUCAGAAGCUCAAGGGGGAAUCCAGGAGUGGCUGGAAUAGGAGGCAUCUUCUACAGGGCAGAAAAGAGUCUGUUGCAUUUUUUAGUGGGAUGAUCAGUAUUACUGAUUCCACUAAAGCACGAGUUUCUGCUCUCUUGACUGGCUUAUGAAUCGCAAGACAACAGGGUUUUACCUCUCUAUCUAUUGAAGGGGAUUUGGUAAAUACUAUUGGAUGGAGCAGAGGGAAAGAACAUGAUCCCUGGCAUCUGGAACAUAUGUUGAAUGAGAUCAUCAUCAUCAUCCAAGACUUAUCCCAACUAUAUGGGGUCAGCUACAUGAAUCCUGUUUUGCCAUUCCAUUCUGUUAAUGAAUGAGAUAGGAGAUAUUAUCGUUAUCAUUUUGGAAGCUUGUAUGAGGUGGUCCCAAGGGGGAGGGGUGAGCUUAAAGGAAGAUGGGUUAGCUAAAACAUGGGCUGGGAGGGAUCUUUCGUAUGAUGAUUUUCUCCUGCCAGAGUAAAUUUUUUAGCAGAUCCUUCUUUUCCAUGUAUGCAUCUUGUCAUGUACACCUCUUAUUUUCUAAUAGCAUACUACUACUAUUUUCAAGAAA